This 252-nucleotide ribosomal RNA is filed under the name uncultured bacterium. RNAcentral's name for it is "partial 16S ribosomal RNA". It matches the Rfam family "Bacterial small subunit ribosomal RNA", at positions 524 to 776 of the family's 1533-position model. The record is from RNAcentral.
UACAGAGGUCCCAAGCGUUGUUCGGAUUCACUGGGCGUAAAGGGUGCGUAGGCGGUCGGGUAAGUCUGACGUGAAAUCUUCAAGCUUAACUUGGAAACUGCGUCGGAUACUAUUCGGCUAGAGGAAUGGAGGGGAGACUGGAUAAUUGGUGUAGCAGUGAAAUGCGUAGAUAUCAAGUGGAACACCAGUGGCGAAGGCGAGUCUCUGGACAUUUCCUGACGCUGAGGCACGAAAGCCAGGGGAGCAAACAGG